GACGGAGGGUGCGAGCGUUAUUCGGAAUUAUUGGGCGUAAAGAGCGUGUAGGCGGUUGGUUAAGUCAGAUGUGAAAGCCCGGGGCUCAACCUCGGAAGUGCAUUUGAUACUGGUCAACUUGAGUUCGGGAGAGGGAAGCGGAAUUCCUGGUGUAGAGGUGAAAUUCGUAGAUAUCAGGAGGAACACCGGUGGCGAAGGCGGCUUCCUGGACCGAAACUGACGCUGAGACGCGAAAGCGUGGGGAGCAAAC
This 250-nucleotide ribosomal RNA is filed under the name uncultured bacterium. Its description in RNAcentral is "partial 16S ribosomal RNA". It matches the Rfam family "Bacterial small subunit ribosomal RNA", at positions 524 to 773 of the family's 1533-position model. The record is from RNAcentral.